Long non-coding RNA from Monomorium pharaonis (pharaoh ant), 6149 nucleotides. RefSeq lists it as uncharacterized. Lineage: Eukaryota; Metazoa; Arthropoda; Insecta; Hymenoptera; Formicidae. The transcript has 2 exons. The record is from RefSeq and is a predicted model, not a curated record.
GUAUUGUCAAAAUAACAAAUGACCAAACAAUAUCCUUUUUUUCUGUGUACUCAUAAUAGAUAUAUUUUGAUAACUUGUUAACAAAGAUAUGAAGACUUUCAAGAUAACUCGUUAAAAGUUGAAGUGGCUGUCACAGAUUGACAUCCCAUUCAUUGUAAAAUGCAAGAUUUUAUUUUAUGAUUUAUGAAUGUAUUCUUUUUUCUUUCUUUGUGCCUUAUCUACGCCAUCUCGUAUGAGAAUAUAUCAUUACGGGAAUAAAAAUGGUAAAAUGGUAUUUUGUUCAGUGCGCUCGAGACUCAUGCGAGAUCUUAAUCCAACUUUAAUAAUAGCAGAUAUUCGACACGCUGCUCUCUACCUGCAGUAAGGAAUCAGUGCUUCCAGCCGCUUUUAAUGGUGAUAACUAGAUAGAAAAUCAUUUCUCUCGAAUCGUAAGUACUUUGUAAUACCGGAUCGUCGAAUUACAUAAAUUCCAGCGCGAAGAAAGAGAGGAAGAUGUGAACUACCUUAUUAUCCGCUUCCAUCUGCCUGUUGCGUUAAAUUAGGAAUAUGAGCGUAGUCUAAUUUUCUCGAGGGCAGUGUCGCCAUUACAAAGUUCGCAUUCACCAUCGUAAAUACUCACAAAAGCGAAUUAUCCCAGUGAAUGCACAAAGCGAGGAGAAUGUACAGAGUAUUCAAAAAGAGUAACGACUCUCUUUUAAAAUCACAUCAAUUUGCGAUAAAAAUUAAGAACAAUUAUAUAAACGUCCAGGAAAAAAUUAAAUUGCUUUUAAUUUAAUUUUUUUUAUCAUAAACAUACGAUGAAAGCAAGUUUUCUCAUCUCAUUGGCGUUAAAUGUCCGUUUCUUCAUAUUUCUAUCAAAACAAAUAGCGCUUUAUUACACUGAGCAAAAAUGUUGUUAAUUUAACCAAAUUUUUCAACUUGAUUAAAUUUAUUCAGUUCAAAUAUUUAUUCAUUCAACUUAAAACUUCUAUUCAAGUAUUUAUAUAUUGGACUGAAAUACAUAGAUGCUUGAAUUCAAGAAAUUUAAUCAAGUUAAAAAAUUUAAUUAAAUGAAGAACUUUUUUUUCUUGGUGUAAUAAAACGCGGAAAAUUAUUUCCAAAAGUCUUUAAAAAUUUUGAGAUCCACGUUCGCGAAUGCUUCAGCAUUCUCAGCACGGAAAUGGCAUAUAUUUCCGAGGCUCGGCCGUACCUUUUUUGGACGCCCCGUAUUGUAAUUCGUCUACUCGCGAGUUCGCGCGGAUGCAGCCAGAAAGGAAACGGAAUAUUUUUGCAGCCGCGAGUCUUGUCAUUUGCAGUCGCCGCGGCUAUUCCCGAUGCGGCUCCGCGGAUUCAAUAAGCCGCCGCCGUCCCCGGUCUUGUCUUCUCGCUCUCCGCCUUGUCGACGACAACCGCGCGUAUCCGCCGCUGGACUUUACACGCAGGAUGUCCCGUUUAAGAAUAUAAAUGCGGGCUAGCCCCGCGUGAGAGAGCGUAUCCCUCGUCGUUUACGAGAAAACGAUUUUUACGCGACACAUGUAGUAUAAUGAGCAACCAACGCAUAUAUGUUUCCCGGCAUAUAUAUUAGUCUUCCCGACGACCAAAUGAAUACCCGGAUUAUUUAUUUAUCUUGACGAUUUCGGAUUGUUUCAUGAAUUUAUUAACGCGCCACGAUUGACUUUUCUUUUAAUGCGGAAAGACGUAAACGACGUUGAAGCUUUUAUUUAACUGGCGACGCAAGAAAUGUUUUUUAAAAGAAUUUUUCAAUUAUAAUUUCUGCAUCCCGUCUCAAGCCGCGUUAUUUGCUGGCAGUACGAACAUUAGAGAAAAUGAAUAUUUCAUGUGGAUUUCCAGAUCCAGAAUAUUACAAGUGCAUUUACGUCAUAAAAUUAUGACUGUGUAUAUAAUGCGCACAUACAUAUUACGAUACGGCUGCAUAAGUGACACUUAAACUUGAAGAAACUGCUAUUAUUAGCUUGUUAUAAACUAUUGCUAAUUUGCAUUCGUGUCUCGCAUUAAACUGUUCUUUUGAUACCACUGCGUUUUAUUUGCCUCGCGCUUGAGAAGCUGCGUUACUUAUUUCGGGCUGAAUAUCAGACAAUUGCCCAUAUAUACGCUAAAUGCCCAUGUGCAUAACGGUGCAUAAAGGAACGAAGAGCCGGCCGUAUGCAUUUCUUCCCUCGCGCAUUUUUUUCUCAUAAUGGAAGGCGCACUUGUCAGCGAGACUGUACCUUGCCCGAGUCUCUUUGAAAGCCCCGUGAGUUGAGUUCGUGCUCGGCUGUGUCAGUGAGGAGCUCGCGUGUGAGACUUAAUUUGUGGUUUUUGUGACGUGUGCACGUACGCGCACGCACACGGGGAAACGCCGAUGGUGCGGCGCGCGUGUGAAUGGACCGAAGACUCACCUUGAAAAGGAGUGAGUAUCGAAAGAGAGUCUUGUGCGUGCCGCUGCAGGCGGGCACUGCGGUCUAACGUGUGCGACAAAUGCGUGCACAUUGCGGCCGUUGGACGCGAAACGAACCAGGCGCAUUUUUGCAGACGCGAAACCGUUAGAGCACGUCAUUAUUGUGCCAGGCAGCGAUUGAAAGUGCGACUAGACCACUGUCAGAUCGCCACCGGACAAUUGUCCCGAUGACCAAGGAAUUUGAAAUAUCACGAUCCUUAUCUGCAUGGUCAAGAUGGCUUAUUCAUCGAGUCGCGUGAAUAGAGCGCUUCUACAAAGUCUGGUACCUUCUAGGACGACCUGUAUAUGGAAGGAAUUUAAAUAUUUUUAUCCGCAGAUUUUAAAUUAUAAUAUGUGAUAUGACUUGAAAGUCCCAACUUCCAAACCACGUUAAUCGUCUUCUUCGUUUCUACAACCGUUGAGAAGAUAAGCUUAUUAAUUUAAAAAGCAAGAGACACUAUAAAGACAUUUUUCACAAAAGUAACAUAUGAUCGUGAGACAUUGGCUGAGAAUUAUCGAGGUGCAGAUGGUACAAAAUGUAAUUACUGUCGGAGGUAAUGAAAGUCGCGAUGGUCUUGUUUCCGAUCGCGAGGAUAAUAACGUGCACGAACGUAUCGCCUGUCGUCUGCGAAAAUGCGAGUGCAAUCUUUUACGAGGAGAUGCGCCAAGCGGAUUUACGGCCCGACACGAGGAGACGAGGAUGUAAAUUUGUAAAGGAAUUAUUAGUAGACGCAGCGAAUCGUUUGCAAGUACCGACUCGUGUACAUCGGAUCGCUUGCAUCUCUUGGGAUUGCCGCUCGUUAUACAGGGAAUAGACAAAAUGAUGUGAGGACCUGGGAGAAAUACGCUACUUAUUUUAUUAAUAAGAGAUUGGUCCAUCAUUUGUCUUUAAUACAGAUUUUAUCCUUGUUUGGAAUAAAAUCAUACAAUAUUUAAAUAGCCACCAGUAAUGUUAUGCCAAUAUUUUUGUCUUAGUCUUUUAAGAGAUGUUGGAGGAGAAAGUCUAUUUUCCACAUUAUUCUUCAAAAAUUGUUCACAAUGAUUCGAUAAUAUUUAAAUCAGUUACGUUGGCUGAAAAAAAUGUAGAAGAAGAGAAAGCAGUUUUUGGAAAAUUGUGUGAAAAUAAAAUUUCUUUCUUCAAUAUUACUUAUAUAAUCAAUUAAAAAAUGUUUUACUAAACAUAAAUACAACAUUUAAGUAUCGUAUAACCUUUCCAAACAAUGAUAAAAUCUGUAUUAAAGACAAACAAUAGAUUAAUCUCUUAGGGGAUGCCAAAGUGCCCGUCAACCUUGAUCGGGAUCGAUAAUGUAGUAUAUAUUUCUUUUAUUGAUUUGAAAAUCCUUUUCCAGAAUUACAGUACUCGUAUUAAUAUCAGAAUAUAAAUUGGAAUUUAUAUAAAAGAAUAAAAAAAUGUUUUGCAGUUUGCUCUUUUUAUUAACCUAUAUUUGGAUUUGCAAUUAUAAAAAGUUCGUGAAACUAAUCUUUUUUUCUAGGCUUUUAAUCUUAGUUCAAAUUGCACAAUAUUGUUCGUAUAUGUUAUUUCUAGAGGAAUAAGGUUUUAUUUUGUACAUAUAUAUCGUAAAUUUUGUAUACUAAGCAAAUAUUGCCCUCAAGUGACAGCUCUACGCUGAAAUAAAUUUUUUUUUUUUUUUUUUAUACAUAAACUCGACUUUUUUCCUCCAGAUUUUGAUACGUAUUUUAAUUCUGUAAAAGAGUUUUGCGAUUCUAUAAAGCCAAUUAAAAGAUUAGUUUCUUUAAAAGAUAUCGGUAAAAUUAAAUUCGGAUUGCCCCUCUCUUGUACACCAUGCUCUUGUCAAACCCAAAACGCUUUCCUAUCUUUUGCCAUCUAUUUUCUUGUCAGUGAAAACGAGCACAUCGCGCGACACAUUCGUCAGAGUAGAAAAAAAAGGAGUUUAAAUCGUACGUGCCGCCCGGUUUGCUGGGCCCUUUGUAACAACUCGCCGUGAAAGUAUCAUGUAGGAAAGCAUGUUACACGUACGCAUAUAAUCCUGUUUUAUAGAAAACUUGAGAUAUAUUCCGGAUUCCGUGGAGAGGGAUCGCCUCGCGGCGGGACCGAGAGUUAGGUAUUCAGAAAAGCGUGCGGUUCAUAGGAAGUCUGCUACGUGACGGCGAUGUCAACCCGGGGCGAAGAAACGAGAAAUGAUAAUAAUAAAAAAAAAAAAGAAAGGAAGAACCGAGGGAGAAGAGCGCAGUGGAAAAAGAAAUAGCGAGGCGAUGAAGAGGCGACACGAGACGUUCGACCGUACCGUCUCUCGCAUAUGUAAUGCAUCCUUAAGGAAUUUUUUGCCUUCGCCAGUCGCUCCUAUCUCGUCUUUUACACGGAAAACAAUUACGUCGGACGCGUGUAUUUUAAGAUUGUUUUUUCAACUAGUGCGAUGCGAUCAAUCUUGUCGUCAACGCAAUGUCACUUCUUGCUGCUUCCUUAAUAUUCUCGUAAUUUUCUACGCGAAGUUGUUAUGGCAGCAAAUAAUGUAACAGAACAGGCUUUGUUUUUUGUUUCUUUUUUUUUCUGUCGUUCUUCUUAAAACGUUACGUGGCUAUGCUAAUCAUUUCGUAAAAUUAUCAUUGGACAAUUGCUAAUCUGAAUAAAGAUCGAUAGGAUUGAAACCCGUUCUUUCAACCGUGCGAUAUUUAUAGAACGAACGAAGAGUCAUACGGAGGAGACAGCCUCUUAAUCUCCGGAAUUAUCUUACGGACUGAGCUUCACAACAAUGCGCGUUGGCUACCUGCCGAUUUCUUUAAAAAAAUUCCAAAUGGAAAGGGUUUGACAACUUACAUAAAUCUGCCAAGCGUCUAUCACUCGUUUCUGUACUAUUGCCGCAAGCUGUUUAAAAAGGUUAUUACAAUGUUCUUCAAACAAACUGACCUUGAAAUGUUGGCUGGAUAUUGAUGAUAUUUUUCAACAUAAAAGUAUGAAAUAACCUAUUGUAAUAAGUGCCUGUGAAUUUCGUAUAAAAAGAAACAAAAAUGUGUAUCCAAAUAAAUCUUCUAAAAUUUAAUAAAUCUAUUCACAGUAUAUUAUUUUCUUUGUCACAAUCAAGCCAUUUAUUUUGGGCCAAAUAUCUUUUGCAAUUGAUGGUUGAAGAAAAUUCUCAAACAAUCCUUUUUUCUAAUACGUCCUGUUCAUUUGAACAAAAACCUAGAUCAGCAAUCUGGUAAGCAAAUCUCAAGUUUCUAGAUUGCAUUGUCAAGAGCAUAAAAAAUAUAUUAAAUGGACGGCUGAUAAUUUCGGAGGCAAAGUGACGUCAUGGCCGGCACAAACGAGGGUUGGUACAUUAUGACAAGAAGGGACCAUUUGACCCCACUCAUUGUUUCUAAUCCCACAAUAAAUUGAAGCAGCUGUACCGGCAAUUGAUACAAAUUUACGUACAGUCCGACUCAUAAGGCGCAGAUCUUACUUGCUGCGACGCGACUGUUGUGACUUAGUGUCCGUGCAUAUAACUCGUUUAUUAAAUUGUAUUUCGUUCUGUAUUUUAUGUAUAAAUCAUCUGUUCGAUUAUUUGAUGAAUCAUAAGCUAUUAAGAACAAUAUAAACGUCAUAGCUUUUAUAUCAUCGAAAUAAAAGACGUAGACGUAAGACACAAAUUGCUGGUAUCAUAUGGAAAUAUCACUUUUAAAAGUAAGCCUUCUAAAUAUUCCUUUUGCGGCAUGUAUCAUAAAUAUCUAAGUAAAAAUAAUAAAAAAUAUUAAAUAAAAACAUUUUCUAUAUGAA